UAGGGAAUCUUCGGCAAUGGACGGAGGUCUGACCGAGCAACGCCGCGUGAGUGAAGAAGGUUUUCGGAUCGUAAAGCUCUGUUGUAAGAGAAGAACGAGUGUGAGAGUGGAAAGUUCACACUGUGACGGUAUCUUACCAGAAAGGGACGGCUAACUACGUGCCAGCAGCCGCGGUAAUACGUAGGUCCCGAGCGUUGUCCGGAUUUAUUGGGCGUAAAGCGAGCGCAGGCGGUUAGAUAAGUCUGAAGUUAAAGGCUGUGGCUUAACCAUAGUAGGCUUUGGAAACUGUUUAACUUGAGUGCAAGAGGGGAGAGUGGAAUUCCAUGUGUAGCGGUGAAAUGCGUAGAUAUAUGGAGGAACACCGGUGGCGAAAGCGGCUCUCUGGCUUAUAACUGACGCUGAGGCUCGAAAGCGUGGGGAGCAAACAGGAUUAGAUACCCUGGUAGUCCACGCUGCAAACGAUGAGUGCUAGGUGUUAGACCCUUUCCGGGGUUUAGUGCCGUAGCUAACGCAUUAAGCACUCCGCCUGGGGAGUACGACCGCAAGGUU
Molecule: ribosomal RNA, 549 nt
Filed under: uncultured bacterium
Lineage: Bacteria
Description: bacterial SSU rRNA
Rfam family: Bacterial small subunit ribosomal RNA
Source: RNAcentral